RNAcentral lists this ribosomal RNA (465 nucleotides) under Vreelandella stevensii. RNAcentral describes it as "partial 16S ribosomal RNA". It matches the Rfam family "Bacterial small subunit ribosomal RNA", at positions 338 to 795 of the family's 1533-position model. Lineage: Bacteria; Pseudomonadati; Pseudomonadota; Gammaproteobacteria; Oceanospirillales; Halomonadaceae. The record is from RNAcentral.
CCUACGUGUGGCUGCAGUGGGGAAUAUUGGACAAUGGGCGAAAGCCUGAUCCAGCCAUGCCGCGUGUGUGAAGAAGGCCUUCGGGUUGUAAAGCACUUUCAGUGGGGAAGAAAGCCUUGGGGCUAAUACCCUCGAGGAAGGACAUCACCCACAGAAGAAGCACCGGCUAACUCCGUGCCAGCAGCCGCGGUAAUACGGAGGGUGCGAGCGUUAAUCGGAAUUACUGGGCGUAAAGCGCGCGUAGGCGGUCUGAUAAGCCGGUUGUGAAAGCCCCGGGCUCAACCUGGGAACGGCAUCCGGAACUGUCAGGCUAGAGUGCAGGAGAGGAAGGUAGAAUUCCCGGUGUAGCGGUGAAAUGCGUAGAGAUCGGGAGGAAUACCAGUGGCGAAGGCGGCCUUCUGGACUGACACUGACGCUGAGGUGCGAAAGCGUGGGUAGCAAACAGGAUUAGAUACCCUGGUAGUC